Long non-coding RNA from Photinus pyralis (common eastern firefly), 1520 nucleotides. RefSeq lists it as uncharacterized. Lineage: Eukaryota; Metazoa; Arthropoda; Insecta; Coleoptera; Lampyridae. The record is from RefSeq and is a predicted model, not a curated record. The transcript has 5 exons.
UCCAGAGCGCCAAAGGCGACGUCAUGUCUGGAGCGUUUCCGUUACAAUAUUUUGCUCAAAUUUGAAAUAUAACUUAUGCUGAAGGGCUUACAUCUUUGGUAGUAAGAAUCUACAGGGUGUUCUUUUUCAGGUGUCAUGUUCCAUUUUCUUCCCCUGAACUUUUUUUCUGUGCGCCCCUCGCAGAUUGUAAAAUCAAAAUUUGAUUGUCUGUUUUGUCAUGUUUGCGUAUUUUCGAUUGUUAUUGAGAAAAAAAAUCAAUUUUCAUUUUUCAUUUUUAAAAUGGUCCAGUAAGUUUUUAUUAGUUUUGACAGUUUGCAUUUGAAAUUGUAACUUGUGUUUGCAUAUGUUUAUAACUUAAAGGUUUAAUUUGUAAAGUAUGCGAAGAAAUUAUAACACCCUGUACAUUUGUAAAGGAGUGGACCUAUGUUUAUAUGAACCUUUAGUCAUAAAAUAAGCCAAAGAAUUAGCCCCUUCCAUAUUUAGGAACACCCUGUAUAAUAAAAACCUGAAAUUUAAUGUCAUGCGUAAAAUUCGCUGUAGCCCCCAUAGUCCCCCCCUUAAUCCAGCAUUGCCGACGACUUCUGCGAUGGAUCAGAUCGAAUUCAAGCCUGGAUUAUAUGGACAUGGUUCACGAAAACGAGUUAUUGGUAAUGGCGUCCGAAGAGAAUCCAUGCCAGUAGCCCGCGGUCGUGAACUCCCGGCGCUUCCCGAGUCAGAAUUAAUAAGGCUAAAGAUUCUGGAAGAGCAGCCUUAUAAAGGUAGGGCGCAUGUUUGUAUUUUCUUAGUGUAUUUAGCAGUGGGGGAAAAGUGAAGUGUAUAGUGCAACCAAAAGUGAUCUUUAGUGAAUUAUGGAAAUCUCCGUUUGACAACAGAAAAUAACUGUAAUUAUUCUUCGCAAAGUUGCUCUCGUGGGAUCAGUCAGUUUGCUUUGUAUCAAUGUGUAUGACUAUGGAUUCAUAGCCAUACCGUUUUACAAAGCGAAGUGAUUGUUUUCUGCGGAUUUAACUUUGAAGAAGGAUUGCACUCUUUAACGGAAGGGGAAGUAAAUGGGCUUUAAUAAGAAUUGUCCCACUAAUCUAUCAUUGAUUGUUCUCAGACAAGGCACGUGAACUUCAACCACGCUGGUGAGAAUUUCUCCGCCAACUUGAUCCUGCUCAAACAAUCAGGAUCCCACCCCUGGAACAGGUAACUGGUCUCUCGUGCGGAAAACGUUUUGUUAUUCCUAUCCUUGAGAUUGUCACUUCACGUCGACCAUCCAACAAAUCAACGGAAUUGGACAAUUUUCACUUAGGCAGGGGACCAAGACUAAGACUACGGCUUCAAAUAAAAGUUAACGGCACUUUGUACGAGCCCAGACGCAUAUGUAUUGGACCACAUGAAACGUUGCUUUACCUUUUUGUUUAUUUUAUAAUUAUUGCCGUUGAUAAAAGUGUUGAAUAUCUGUUUUGGUCCAAUACAUAUGUGGCUGGGCCCUUAUAUACUUUUCCCAGUAUUGUUAAAAAAAAUGUAAAAUGUUGUAC